This 162-nucleotide ribosomal RNA is filed under the name Bacillus cereus. Its description in RNAcentral is "partial 23S ribosomal RNA". It matches the Rfam family "Bacterial large subunit ribosomal RNA", at positions 2764 to 2925 of the family's 2925-position model. Lineage: Bacteria; Bacillati; Bacillota; Bacilli; Caryophanales; Bacillaceae. The record is from RNAcentral. RNAcentral also lists the same sequence under 3 other names.
AUAAGUGCUGAAAGCAUCUAAGCAUGAAGCCCCCCUCAAGAUGAGAUUUCCCAUAGCGUAAGCUAGUAAGAUCCCUGAAAGAUGAUCAGGUUGAUAGGUUCGAGGUGGAAGCAUGGUGACAUGUGGAGCUGACGAAUACUAAUAGAUCGAGGACUUAACCAU